UUCCGGUUGGUCCUGCCGGACCUGACUGCUAUCGGAUUGAUACUAAGCCAUGCGAGUCAUUGUAGUAAUACAAGGCAGACGGCUCAGUAACGCGUAGUCAACCUAACCUAUGGACGGAAAUAACCUCGGGAAACUGAGCAUAAUACCCGAUAGAACAUUAUGCCUGGAAUGGUUUAUGUUCCAAAUGAUUUAUCGCCGUAGGAUGGGACUGCGGCCUAUCAGUUUGUUGGUGAGGUAAUGGCCCACCAAGACUAUUACAGGUACGGGCUCUGAGAGGAGUAGCCUGGAGAUGGGUACUGAGACACGGACCCAGGCCCUAUGGGGCGCAGCAGGCGAGAAAACUUUGCAAUGUGCGAAAGCACGACAAGGUUAAUCCGAGUGGUUCCUGCUAAAGGAACCUUUUGACAGUCCUAAAAACACUGAUGAAUAAGGGGUGGGCAAGUUCUGGUGUCAGCCGCCGCGGUAAAACCAGCACCUCAAGUGGUCAGGAUGAUUAUUGGGCCUAAAGCAUCCGUAGCCGGCUCUGUAAGUUUUCGGUUAAAUCUGUACGCUCAACGUACAGGCUGCCGGGAAUACUGCAGAGCUAGGGAGUGGGAGAGGUAGACGGUACUCGGUAGGAAGGGGUAAAAUCCUUUGAUCUAUUGAUGACCACCUGUGGCGAAGGCGGUCUACCAGAACACGUCCGACGGUGAGGGAUGAAAGCUGGGGGAGCAAACCGGAUUAGAUACCCGGGUAGUCCCAGCUGUAAACCAUGCAAACUCAGUGAUGCAUUGGCUUAUGGCCAAUGCAGUGCUGCAGGGAAGCCGUUAAGUUUGCCGCCUGGGAAGUACGUACGCAAGUAUGAAACUUAAAGGGAUUGGCGGGGGAGCACCACAAGGGGUGAAGCCUGCGGUUCAAUUGGAGUCAACGCCAGAAAUCU
Molecule: ribosomal RNA, 919 nt
Filed under: uncultured crenarchaeote
Lineage: Archaea; Thermoproteati; Thermoproteota
Description: bacterial SSU rRNA
Rfam family: Archaeal small subunit ribosomal RNA
Source: RNAcentral